RNAcentral lists this ribosomal RNA (492 nucleotides) under uncultured bacterium. RNAcentral describes it as "partial 16S ribosomal RNA". It matches the Rfam family "Bacterial small subunit ribosomal RNA", at positions 29 to 507 of the family's 1533-position model. The record is from RNAcentral.
AGUGAACGCUGGCGGUAGGCCUAACACAUGCAAGCCGAACGGCAGCACAGUAAGAGCUUGCUCUUACGGGUGGCGAGUGGCGGACGGGUGAGGAAUACAUCGGAAUCUACUUUUUCGUGGGGGAUAACGUAGGGAAACUUACGCUAAUACCGCAUACGACCUACGGGUGAAAGCAGGGGAUCUUCGGACCUUGCGCGAUUGAAUGAGCCGAUGUCGGAUUAGCUAGUUGGCGGGGUAAAGGCCCACCAAGGCGACGAUCCGUAGCUGGUCUGAGAGGAUGAUCGGCCACACUGGAACUGAGACACGGUCCAGACUCCUACGGGAGGCAGCAGUGGGGAAUAUUGGACAGUGGGCGCAAGCCUGAUCCAGCCAUACCGCGUGGGUGAAGGAGGCCUUCGGGUUGUAAAGCCCUUUUGUUGGGAGAGAAAAGCAGCAGGUUAAUACCCCGCUGUUCUGACGGUACCCAAAGAAUAAGCACCGGCUAACUACGUG